Molecule: long non-coding RNA, 689 nt
Organism: Macrobrachium nipponense
Lineage: Eukaryota; Metazoa; Arthropoda; Malacostraca; Decapoda; Palaemonidae
Exons: 2
Source: RefSeq, a predicted model, not a curated record
ACGAGUUUGUUUGUUGCAAGUUCAUAAUGUAUUUAUAGUUUGUGUUUUAUCAUGUGGUGGAUUUGUUAGUGGUGUAUUUGAUAGUGGAAGUACGAUUGAGUUUUGUAUACUCUUGUAUAGUCUUGAACGAACUGGUAUUUUAUUGUUAAACGCUGUUUAUUGAAGGAAAAGAGUGUUAUAAUUUUUUUGGGGUGAAGGAAGUAUGCCGUUCAGCACAGAGGUGGUGUGAACUUCAUUAUGCUACGAUAAAAAAUAAGCGCGAAGACUAUGUUGGCUACUAUGUCGUUGGUUACUAUGUCGUAGUGACCUGUACCUAAUUUGAUUGGUUUGCAAUGGGAUUACUGAAUAAAACAAGGAUUGGCUCCACCAUGUAAAACAAUACUGCAAGAUGUGAAUAUUGGCUUGCUGUCUGGAAGGCGAUUGUUGGAUGUACCUUUUGAACGUAACCUGUAUAAAGCCCUUAACCACUGAAUGGGUCAAUUUAAGGAGCCUAGGAUGGUUUGUGGCCACUUGUCUAAAACGUUCACUCUUGGCCAAAUGUGGUGCUGAUGCGGAAGGAAAUUGAACUUCAUUGCAAAACAGGUUUGUUACUGGUUAGUCGCACAAGCAGCGCCUAUGUUAAGAGAAGGUUAAACUCCAGUCUAUUUUUUCUCAUUCAUUUUAAUGUAAUUUAUAAAUAUCACAUAUUC